RNAcentral lists this ribosomal RNA (258 nucleotides) under uncultured archaeon. RNAcentral describes it as "partial 16S ribosomal RNA". It matches the Rfam family "Archaeal small subunit ribosomal RNA", at positions 748 to 1009 of the family's 1478-position model. The record is from RNAcentral.
UAGGCGUAAAUGAUGCGAGUUAAGUGUGGGGGCACUCUACGAGAUGGCCCUGUGCUGUAGGGUAGCCGUUAAACUCGCUGCCUGGGGAGUACGGUCGCAAGGCUGAACUUAAGGAUUGGCGGGGGAGCACCACAAGAGGUGGAGGCUGCGGUUCAAUUGGACUCAACGCCGGAAACUCAUCGGGAGCGACAGCAGUAUGAUUGCCAGGUUGAUGACCUUGCUUGACAAGCUGAGAGGAGGUGCAUGGCGUAGUCGUGU